UCUUCUUGUUUGACCGACUUUUAACUGCAGGUGUUUGUUUACCUGUCUGCCCGGUCCCAAGAAGGCAGGCUCGCGCCGCUUGGGCUCUGCUACUCCAUGAGCCCCACAAGGGCGGACUGUACCAACCAGGCUCAGGGAGGAGGGGGGGAUUCAGUAAACACGGCGAGCUACUUUCACCAGAAGCCACGUCAGGAAUUAGUCUGCUCCCAAACUAUAGCUCCCAGCUUUUAUUUAAACCUCGUACCGACCCAGAUAUCCCUCUCUGACCGCGUUUCGUCGCUCUCUUGUCGAGUGCUGUUGAAUUUUCCUGCUGCUGGAGAGGAAAAGCAACACGCUGCGAGAGAGCAAGAGGGAGGAAAACAACA
Austrofundulus limnaeus is the source of this 365-nucleotide long non-coding RNA. RefSeq lists it as uncharacterized. The record is from RefSeq and is a predicted model, not a curated record. The transcript has 2 exons. NCBI's taxonomy places the organism in Eukaryota, Metazoa, Chordata, Actinopteri, Cyprinodontiformes, Rivulidae.